AUGUAGCGUAAUCAAUAGCCAAUUAAUUGUUGGCCGGUAUGAAUGGCAUCACGAAGGCCCCACUGUCUUAAGAGGACUCUCCAUGAAAUUGAAAUCGUAGUGAAGAUGCUACGUCCAUAUUGUAAGACGAAAAGACCCCAUUGAGCUUUACUAAAGACUUGUAUGGCUCGAAAUAACUUAAAUAAAAAGUUUAGAUAAUGUGGGAUCCGUUUUGGUUAAUGAAACACCACUCUUUUAUUUUAAGAGAGCUAACCUUGUAGGGAGAAUGCAAGUUGGAUAGUUUGGUUGGGGCGACCACCUUUUAAAAGGUAACGAAGGUGAGCUUAAGGUCCGUAGUUAAUAGCUAGUGGCCUGACUGCAAGGGGGACAUCCCGAGCAGACACUGGUAAUCUCUCAGUGGGUUAUAGUGACCCGUCAUCUUANAGUGGAAUAGUUGACGAUCAACGAAUAAA
RNAcentral lists this ribosomal RNA (452 nucleotides) under Metridium senile (brown sea anemone). RNAcentral describes it as "partial 16S ribosomal RNA". It matches the Rfam family "Bacterial large subunit ribosomal RNA", at positions 1954 to 2460 of the family's 2925-position model. Lineage: Eukaryota; Metazoa; Cnidaria; Anthozoa; Actiniaria; Metridiidae. The record is from RNAcentral.